Molecule: ribosomal RNA, 515 nt
Filed under: uncultured organism
Description: bacterial SSU rRNA
Rfam family: Bacterial small subunit ribosomal RNA
Source: RNAcentral
AGCUACAGGCUUAACACAUGCAAGUCGAGGGGAAACGACAUCGAAAGCUUGCUUUUGAUGGGCGUCGACCGGCGCACGGGUGAGUAACGCGUAUCCAACCUGCCCACCACUUGGGGAUAACCUUGCGAAAGUAAGACUAAUACCCAAUGACGUCUCUAGAAGACAUCUGAAGGAGAUUAAAGAUUUAUCGGUGAUGGAUGGGGAUGCGUCUGAUUAGCUUGUUGGCGGGGUAACGGCCCACCAAGGCGACGAUCAGUAGGGGUUCUGAGAGGAAGGCCCCCCACAUUGGAACUGAGACACGGUCCAAACUCCUACGGGAGGCAGCAGUGAGGAAUAUCGGUCAAUGGGCGAGAGCCUGAACCAGCCAAGUAGCGUGCAGGAUGACGGCCCUAUGGGUUGUAAACUGCUUUUAUAAGGGAAUAAAGUGAGUCUCGUGAGACUUUUUGCAUGUACCUUAUGAAUAAGGACCGGCUAAUUCCGUGCCAGCAGCCGCGGUAAUACGGAAGGUCCGGGCG